ACGGAGCAACGCCGCGUGAGUGACGAAGGUUUUCGGAUCGUAAAACUCUGUUGUGAGGGAAGAACAAGUACCAAYUAACUACUGGUACCUUGACGGUACCUCACCAGAAAGCCACGGCUAACUACGUGCCAGCAGCCGCGGUAAUACGUAGGUGGCAAGCGUUGUCCGGAAUUAUUGGGCGUAAAGCGCGCGCAGGCGGUCCCUUAAGUCUGAUGUGAAAGCCCACGGCUCAACCGUGGAGGGUCAUUGGAAACUGGGGGACUUGAGUGCAGAAGAGGAAAGUGGAAUUCCACGUGUAGCGGUGAAAUGCGUAGAGAUGUGGAGGAACACCAGUGGCGAAGGCGACUUUCUGGUCUGUAACUGACGCUGAGGCGCGAAAGCGUGGGGAGCAAACAGGAUUAGAUACCCUGGUAGUCCACGCCGUAAACGAUGAGUGCUAAGUGUUAGGGGGUUUCCGCCCCUUAGUGCUGCAGCUAACGCAUUAAGCACUCCGCC
This 495-nucleotide ribosomal RNA is filed under the name uncultured Planomicrobium sp. RNAcentral describes it as "bacterial SSU rRNA". It matches the Rfam family "Bacterial small subunit ribosomal RNA", at positions 386 to 873 of the family's 1533-position model. The record is from RNAcentral. Lineage: Bacteria; Bacillati; Bacillota; Bacilli; Caryophanales; Caryophanaceae.